AUAGGUCCAAUUUACCUGGGCCCAAAACUAAAUAAAUAAAACCCAAAAUAAAAAAAAAUAAACAUUCCAUAGUCCAAAAAAAUUUACAAGCUCAAAUGCCCAAUAAUAAUAAAAAACCCUAGAGGCUCGAUUAGCCCACAACUUAAACAUUUCAGCAAAAAACCCUAACUCCCUUAACCCUAGGCGCGUCGCACCUAGGUCCACUCCUGGCC
This 212-nucleotide long non-coding RNA is filed under the name Gossypium barbadense (sea-island cotton). RNAcentral's name for it is "long non-coding RNA (GBAR_LNC013306)". The record is from RNAcentral. Lineage: Eukaryota; Viridiplantae; Streptophyta; Magnoliopsida; Malvales; Malvaceae.